UACAGAGACUGCAAGCGUUAUUCGGAUUCACUGGGCGUAAAGGGUGCGCAGGCGGUCGUGUGUGUCAGGUGUGAAAAUCCCGGAGCUUAACUCCGGAACUGCGCCUGAAACUACAUGACUAGAGCAUUGGAGAGGGGAAGUGGAAUUCAUGGGUGUAGCAGUGAAAAUGCGUAGAUAUCAUGAGGAACACCAGAGGCGAAGGCGACUUCCUGGACAAUUGCUGACGCUCAGGCACGAAAGCAUGGGGAGCAAAAGGG
This 257-nucleotide ribosomal RNA is filed under the name uncultured bacterium. RNAcentral describes it as "partial 16S ribosomal RNA". It matches the Rfam family "Bacterial small subunit ribosomal RNA", at positions 524 to 776 of the family's 1533-position model. The record is from RNAcentral.